RNAcentral lists this non-coding RNA (92 nucleotides) under Microcebus murinus (gray mouse lemur). Lineage: Eukaryota; Metazoa; Chordata; Mammalia; Primates; Cheirogaleidae. The record is from RNAcentral.
GGCUGGUCCGAUGCUAGUGAGUUAUCAGAACUUAUUAACAUUAGUGCCACUAAAGUUGGUAUUCAACCCCACACAGCUGAAUUUGGCUUUAA